This 515-nucleotide unclassified non-coding RNA is filed under the name Hevea brasiliensis (rubber tree). The record is from RNAcentral. Lineage: Eukaryota; Viridiplantae; Streptophyta; Magnoliopsida; Malpighiales; Euphorbiaceae.
GAAGAUAUGGUGAUAAAGAAUGUCUGUAAUAUUCGGUAUAAUAAAUUUUCAUGAAUGUGUUGGGUAAUAAAGAGUGGUGACAAAAUCAAAAUAUGCAGGAAGCCAGGGAAGCACGGGAAGAGGGCAGCCAUGGAAGCACAUAAAUGCAGUUUUGAACCAAGCAUUUAAUGACUCUUUCAUCCUCUGCUAGUACACUUUCUCACUCGGACAAGGACCAUCUACAGAAAGAAACCUGAAGAGACAAAACUAAGAUUCAUUCACUUUGAAUCUAUCUUUAACGGCUAUAGAAAUUUCUAUUAAAAGUUAGCCAAAACAUCUCGUGAAACUAAGGGGAAACACUUUCAGCUCCUCAAGAAACUCAAAAAAAAAAAAAAAAAAGAGGAAGAGGGUAGGGGUGAAAACCCGAAAGGGCGCUCCUAGCAAAAUGUGUGAAAGAAGGCGAAAACCCCGAAGGGGCGCUUUCUGUAAAAUGAGUGAAGGAUGAAAACCCGAAAGGGCAUCCUGAAAAAGUGAGC